Molecule: long non-coding RNA, 503 nt
Organism: Camelus dromedarius (Arabian camel)
Lineage: Eukaryota; Metazoa; Chordata; Mammalia; Artiodactyla; Camelidae
Exons: 3
Source: RefSeq, a predicted model, not a curated record
GGGGGCGGGACUCGGGGGCGGGGCUUAGGCGGCGGAGCCCGGCGCGGCCCGGAGGCCCAGGUCUGGUAGCCCUCGCCCACCCGACCCCCACGGCGGGACACCAGCCCCAGGGACCGGCCUGCCCUUCAUCCCUCCUCGGCCUGGCGCAGGGCCUUUUUCUGAGCCGUGCGCCGAGCCAAAGCUCCCAGGCCAGUCAGGGAGUUUCCCAGAGCACAGAAAUAAAAAUACCUGAGACACGCCAGACAGGAGAGGGUGGAAGUGACCAUCGGUUAUCUGCAGUGGCUGUGAUGAACUGGACGAGCCAGUAAGCAGCGGCAAAGACCAGCCUGAAGCCUCAACCAGCAAGCCUCCUGGGCCCUAAGGGACGAUGGCGCUGACCUCGUCCGACCCUCCUGACUCCGAUCGAAUAAAGCUGGGGCUCUGUGGGAAGACACUGCUUUGGGAAAGAACCCCCGUGUUCUCCUUACUUGCUGCAAGUAAUAAUAAAUCCUUCCUUCUCCCGA